RNAcentral lists this ribosomal RNA (253 nucleotides) under uncultured bacterium. RNAcentral's name for it is "partial 16S ribosomal RNA". It matches the Rfam family "Bacterial small subunit ribosomal RNA", at positions 524 to 776 of the family's 1533-position model. The record is from RNAcentral.
UACGGAGGGUGCAAGCGUUAUCCGGAUUCACUGGGUUUAAAGGGUGCGUAGGUGGGAAUGUAAGUCAGUGGUGAAAUCUCCGUGCUUAACAUGGAAACUGCCAUUGAUACUAUGUUUCUUGAAUCUUCCGGAGGUCAGCGGAAUAUGUCAUGUAGCGGUGAAAUGCUUAGAUAUGACAUAGAACACCAAUUGCGAAGGCAGCUGACUACAGGGGCAUUGACACUGAGGCACGAAAGCGUGGGGAUCAAACAGG